This 279-nucleotide long non-coding RNA is filed under the name Bos taurus (domestic cattle). Its description in RNAcentral is "long non-coding RNA NONBTAT015559". Lineage: Eukaryota; Metazoa; Chordata; Mammalia; Artiodactyla; Bovidae. The record is from RNAcentral.
ACCCCAAAGUUCUAGCUACAUGUAAAAUUUUAGCAUCCCAGUAAUUAGAUUUGAAUCACAACAAUCAAGAUUCGUUUAUUCCUUAAUGCCAAGAUCUGAAAGGUUCUGAGAAUACAGAAUGAUCAGGAAUGGCUUUGUCUACAGUAAGCACAUCAUCAAUGGCUAUUUAAUAAAAAGUCUCUGGUUCACUCCCUAGGCAAUCCCUUGUCUCAUUUCUUAGAUAUAGCUGUGGUUUUAAAGUUAUCUUCCAGAAAUUUUCUAUUUGUAUACAAGUGUCUA